AGUGAACGCUGGCGGCGUGCCUAAUACAUGCACGUCGAACGGAGUGGCGCACGGGUGAGUAAUGUAUAGCUAAUCUGCCCUACACUAGAGGACAACAGUUGGAAACGACUGCUAAUACUCUAUAGUGUAGGAUGAGGCUAUAUUGUAUCAGCUAGUUGGUGAGGUAAUGGCUCACCAAGGCUAUGACGCAUACCUGGUCUGAGAGGAUGAUCAGUAACACUGGAACGGAGACACGGUCCAGACUCCUACGGGAGGGAGCAGUAGGGAAUAUUGCUCAAUGGGGGAAACCCUGAAGCAGCAACGCCGCGUGGAGGAUGACACUUGUCGGAGCAUAAACUCCUUUUGUUAGGGAAGCGGUACCUAACGAAUAAGCACCGGCUAACUCCGUGCCAGCAGCCGCGGUAAUAC
RNAcentral lists this ribosomal RNA (408 nucleotides) under uncultured bacterium. Its description in RNAcentral is "partial 16S ribosomal RNA". It matches the Rfam family "Bacterial small subunit ribosomal RNA", at positions 29 to 526 of the family's 1533-position model. The record is from RNAcentral.